RNAcentral lists this unclassified non-coding RNA (349 nucleotides) under soil metagenome. RNAcentral describes it as "partial contains 5.8S ribosomal RNA, internal transcribed spacer 2, and large subunit ribosomal RNA". The stretch from base 1 to 120 matches the Rfam family "5.8S ribosomal RNA", at positions 35 to 154 of the family's 154-position model. The record is from RNAcentral.
GAUGAAGAACGUAGUGAAAUGCGAUAAGUAAUGUGAAUUGCAGAAUUCAGUGAAUCAUCGAGUCUUUGAACGCACAUUGCGCCCCCUGGUAUUCCGGGGGGCAUGCCUGUCCGAGCGUCAUUGCCGCCCUCAAGCACGGCUUGUGUGUUGGGCCCCCGCCCCCCGGCUUCGGGGGGCGGGCCCGAAAGGCAGCGGCGGCACCGCGUCCGGUCCUCGAGCGUAUGGGGCUUCGUCACCCGCUCUGUAGGCCCGGCCGGCGCCCGCCGGCGACCCCAAUCAAUCUUUCCAGGUUGACCUCGGAUCAGGUAGGGAUACCCGCUGAACUUAAGCAUAUCAAUAAGCGGAAGGA